RNAcentral lists this ribosomal RNA (253 nucleotides) under uncultured bacterium. RNAcentral describes it as "partial 16S ribosomal RNA". It matches the Rfam family "Bacterial small subunit ribosomal RNA", at positions 524 to 776 of the family's 1533-position model. The record is from RNAcentral.
UACGAGGGGGUGCAAGCGUUGCUCGGAAUUAUUGGGCGUAAAGGGUAGGUAGGUGGUCUCAUUUGUCUGGGGUGAAAGCCUUGAGCUUAACUCAAGAAGUGCCCUAGAAACGGUGAGACUGGAGUCUUGGAGAGGGUCGUGGAAUUCCCGGUGUAGCGGUGAAAUGCGUAGAGAUCGGGAGGAACACCAGAGGCGAAGGCGGCGACCUGGACAGUACUGACACUCAACUACGAAAGCGUGGGUAGCAAACAGG